This is a small nuclear RNA of Otolemur garnettii (small-eared galago), 107 nucleotides long. The record is from Ensembl. Lineage: Eukaryota; Metazoa; Chordata; Mammalia; Primates; Galagidae.
GUGCCCACUUUGGCAGCAUAUACACUAAAAUUAGAAUGAUGCAGAGAAGAGUAGCAGGGCCCCUGCACAAGGAUGACAUGUAAAUUCAUGAAGCAUCCCAUACUUGC